UACGGAGGGGGCUAGCGUUGUUCGGAAUUACUGGGCGUAAAGCGCACGUAGGCGGCUUUGUAAGUUAGAGGUGAAAGCCCGGGGCUCAACUCCGGAAUUGCCUUUAAGACUGCAUCGCUAGAAUUGUGGAGAGGUAAGUGGAAUUCCGAGUGUAGAGGUGAAAUUCGUAGAUAUUGGGAAGAACACCGGUGGCGAAGGCGGCUCUCUGGCUCGUAACUGACGCUCAGGCGCGACAGCGUGGGGAUCAAACAGG
Molecule: ribosomal RNA, 253 nt
Filed under: uncultured bacterium
Lineage: Bacteria
Description: partial 16S ribosomal RNA
Rfam family: Bacterial small subunit ribosomal RNA
Source: RNAcentral